CAGGACGAACGCUGGCGGCGUGCUAACACAUGCAAGUCGAACGAGGUUAUAGGAGAGCUUGCUCGAAUAUAACCGAGUGGCGGACGGGUGAGUAACGCGUGAAUAAUCUGUCCCAUACAGGGGGAUAACGCAUCGAAAGAUGUGCUAAUACCGCGUAGGACCACGGAGUCGCAUGGCUCUGAGGUGAAAGGAGCAAUCCAGUAUGGGGUGAGUUCGCGUCUGAUUAGAUAGUUGGUGUGGUAACGGCCCACCAAGUCAACGAUCAGUAGCCGACCUGAGAGGGUGAUCGGCCACAUUGGGACUGAGACACGGCCCAGACUCCUACGGGAGGCAGCAGUGGGGAAUAUUGGGCAAUGGGCGAAAGCCUGACCCAGCAACGCCGCGCGAAGGAAGAAGGUUUUCGGAUUGUAAACUUCUGUCCUAUGUGAAGAGGAGUAGACGGUAGCAUAGGAGGAAGCCCCGGCUAACUACGUGCCAGCCGCGGC
Molecule: ribosomal RNA, 485 nt
Filed under: uncultured bacterium
Lineage: Bacteria
Description: bacterial SSU rRNA
Rfam family: Bacterial small subunit ribosomal RNA
Source: RNAcentral